Molecule: ribosomal RNA, 603 nt
Filed under: Silvania confinis
Lineage: Bacteria; Pseudomonadati; Pseudomonadota; Gammaproteobacteria; Enterobacterales; Enterobacteriaceae
Description: bacterial SSU rRNA
Rfam family: Bacterial small subunit ribosomal RNA
Source: RNAcentral
AAAUUGAAGAGUUUGAUCAUGGCUCAGAUUGAACGCUGGCGGCAGGCCUAACACAUGCAAGUCGAGCGGUAGCACAGGAGAGCUUGCUCUCCGGGUGACGAGCGGCGGACGGGUGAGUAAUGUCUGGGAAACUGCCUGAUGGAGGGGGAUAACUACUGGAAACGGUAGCUAAUACCGCAUAACGUCGCAAGACCAAAGAGGGGGACCUUCGGGCCUCUUGCCAUCAGAUGUGCCCAGAUGGGAUUAGCUAGUAGGUGGGGUAAUGGCUCACCUAGGCGACGAUCCCUAGCUGGUCUGAGAGGAUGACCAGCCACACUGGAACUGAGACACGGUCCAGACUCCUACGGGAGGCAGCAGUGGGGAAUAUUGCACAAUGGGCGCAAGCCUGAUGCAGCCAUGCCGCGUGUAUGAAGAAGGCCUUCGGGUUGUAAAGUACUUUCAGCGAGGAGGAAGGCGUUGUGGUUAAUAACCGCAGCGAUUGACGUUACUCGCAGAAGAAGCACCGGCUAACUCCGUGCCAGCAGCCGCGGUAAUACGGAGGGUGCAAGCGUUAAUCGGAAUUACUGGGCGUAAAGCGCACGCAGGCGGUCUGUCAAGUCGGAU